GUGAAUCAUCAAAUUUUUGAACGCAAAUUGCACUCUCCUCGGAGAGUAUGCCUGUUUGAGGGUCAGCCUAAAAAAAAUCGACAUCUUUGCGGUUUCGCGGUGACGUCCGUCGGAAAUUGGGCCAUCUUAAACCUUUGGGUUUAAGCGACUUAAAAUUUUUUUUUUGAUUCCUUGAACGUUCCUAAGAUUUAUUUUUUUACACGUUUAAGUUUU
This 213-nucleotide unclassified non-coding RNA is filed under the name Glomus sp. Its description in RNAcentral is "partial contains 5.8S ribosomal RNA and internal transcribed spacer 2". The stretch from base 1 to 65 matches the Rfam family "5.8S ribosomal RNA", at positions 84 to 154 of the family's 154-position model. Lineage: Eukaryota; Fungi; Glomeromycota; Glomeromycetes; Glomerales; Glomeraceae. The record is from RNAcentral.